AUUGAACGCUGGCGGCAGGCCUAACACAUGCAAGUCGAGCGAGCGGCGGACGGGUGAGUAAUGUAUGGGGAAUGUCCGUUAGAGGGGGAUAACUACUCGAAACGGUGGCUAAUACCCCAUACUGUCGGAUAACCCAUAUGGGAUUAGCUAGUAGGUAAGGUAAUGGCUUACCUAGGCGACGAUCCCUAGCUGGUCUGAGAGGAUGAUCAGCCACACUGGGAAUGAGACACGGCCCAGACUCCUACGGAGGCAGCAGUGGGGAAUAUUGCACAAUGGGCGCAAGCCUGAUGCAGCCAUGCCGCGUGUAUGAAGAAGGCCCUAGGGUUGUAAAGUACUUUCAGUCGGGAGGCGUUACCGACAGAAGAAGCACCGGCUAACUCCGUGCCAGCAGCCGCGGUAAUAC
Molecule: ribosomal RNA, 403 nt
Filed under: uncultured bacterium
Lineage: Bacteria
Description: partial 16S ribosomal RNA
Rfam family: Bacterial small subunit ribosomal RNA
Source: RNAcentral